UACGAAGGGGGCUAGCGUUGCUCGGAAUCAUUGGGCGUAAAGCGCACGUAGGCGGAUUGUUAAGUCAGGGGUGAAAUCCUGGAGCUCAACUCCAGAACUGCCUUCGAUACUGGGAGUCUUGAGUUCGGGAGAGGUGAGUGGAACUGCGAGUGUAGAGGUGAAAUUCGUAGAUAUUCGCAAGAACACCAGUGGCGAAGGCGGCUCACUGGCCCGAUACUGACGCUGAGGUGCGAAGGCGUGGGGAGCAAACAGG
RNAcentral lists this ribosomal RNA (253 nucleotides) under uncultured bacterium. RNAcentral describes it as "partial 16S ribosomal RNA". It matches the Rfam family "Bacterial small subunit ribosomal RNA", at positions 524 to 776 of the family's 1533-position model. The record is from RNAcentral.